Long non-coding RNA from Sander lucioperca (pikeperch), 309 nucleotides. RefSeq lists it as uncharacterized. Lineage: Eukaryota; Metazoa; Chordata; Actinopteri; Perciformes; Percidae. The record is from RefSeq and is a predicted model, not a curated record. The transcript has 3 exons.
AUGGUUUUAAAGCACUGCACUAAUGGUACCAGACUUCUUUUUUUCUACUUAUCAGUUUGCGUUUGAUUUUUGUACCUAAAUUUUGAACAAUGGAGAUAACCAGGUUAUUUUAUGGCCACAUAAACACACCAGAACCUGAAAAAUACUACUCUUGAUGUUUGCUGUAUAAUUUACCAAGAUUCCUCAUCCAAAAGCUCCACCCCUGCAACUGGCUUGCCAGAGAAAAGUGGAAAUUUCCAGUCAUUCCUUCUGCUUUGCAAGAAAUGCUCCUCCUCCUUCUAGUUUCCCGCCUUUCCGCCUACCUGCUCC